UAAAACGUAGGACGCAAGCGUUAUCCGGAAUUACUGGGCGUAAAGCGCGUGUAGGCGGGUUCGCAAGUCGGUCGUGAAAGCUCACGGCUAAACUGUGAGAGGACGGACGAGACUGCGAGUCUAGAGGACGAUAGAGGAGUGUAGAAUUCCGGGUGUAGUGGUGAAAUGCGCAGAUAUCCGGAGGAAUACCAGUGGCGAAGGCGACACUCUGGGUCGUAACUGACGCUGAGACGCGAAAGCAUGGGGAGCGAACGGGAUUAGAAACCCCGGUAGUCCAUGCCGUAAACGUUGCAUACUAGAUGUUCGGGAGGGCAUUGCUCUCUUGAGCGUCGCAGCUAACGCGUUAAGUAUGCCGCCUGGGGAGUACGGUCGCAAGGCUA
RNAcentral lists this ribosomal RNA (380 nucleotides) under uncultured bacterium. RNAcentral describes it as "bacterial SSU rRNA". It matches the Rfam family "Bacterial small subunit ribosomal RNA", at positions 521 to 896 of the family's 1533-position model. The record is from RNAcentral.